Molecule: microRNA precursor, 98 nt
Filed under: Microtus ochrogaster (prairie vole)
Lineage: Eukaryota; Metazoa; Chordata; Mammalia; Rodentia; Cricetidae
Description: miRNA (ENSMOCG00000008661.1)
Source: RNAcentral
GGCUUAAAAAGGCCACUGUAGGGCUGGAGAGAUGGCUCAGAGGUAAAGAACACUGGCUGCUCUUCCAGGGGUCCUGAGUUCAAGUCCCAGCAACCACA